ACUCCUACGGGAGGCAGCAGUGGGGAAUAUUGCACAAUGGGCGCAAGCCUGAUGCAGCCAUGCCGCGUGUGUGAAGAAGGCCUUCGGGUUGUAAAGCACUUUCAGUCGUGAGGAAGGUGGUAGUGUUAAUAGCACUAUCAUUUGACGUUAGCGACAGAAGAAGCACCGGCUAACUCCGUGCCAGCAGCCGCGGUAAUACGGAGGGUGCGAGCGUUAAUCGGAAUUACUGGGCGUAAAGCGCAUGCAGGUGGUUUGUUAAGUCAGAUGUGAAAGCCCGGGGCUCAACCUCGGAAUAGCAUUUGAAACUGGCAGACUAGAGUACUGUAGAGGGGGUAGAAUUUCAGGUGUAGCGGUGAAAUGCGUAGAGAUCUGAAGGAAUACCGGUGGCGAAGGCGGCCCCCCUGGACAGAUACUGACACUCAGAUGCGAAAGCGUGGGGAGCAAACAGGAUUAGAUACCCUGGUA
This 465-nucleotide ribosomal RNA is filed under the name uncultured bacterium. RNAcentral's name for it is "bacterial SSU rRNA". It matches the Rfam family "Bacterial small subunit ribosomal RNA", at positions 335 to 792 of the family's 1533-position model. The record is from RNAcentral.